UACGUAGGGGGCAAGCGUUAUCCGGAUUUACUGGGUGUAAAGGGAGCGUAGACGGCUAAUCAAGUCAGAAGUGAAAACCCAGGGCUCAACUUUGGGACUGCUUUGGAAACUGCCAUGCUAGAGUGCUGGAGAGGUAAGUGGAAUUCCUAGUGUAGCGGUGAAAUGCUUAGAUAUCAUGAAGAACUCCGAUCGCGAAGGCAAGUGUCCGGGGUGCAACUGACGCUGAGGCACGAAAGCGUGGGUAUCGAACAGG
This 253-nucleotide ribosomal RNA is filed under the name uncultured bacterium. RNAcentral describes it as "partial 16S ribosomal RNA". It matches the Rfam family "Bacterial small subunit ribosomal RNA", at positions 524 to 776 of the family's 1533-position model. The record is from RNAcentral.